CAUAGGUUAAUGAGGCGAACCGGGGGAACUGAAACAUCUAAGUACCCCGAGGAAAAGAAAUCAACCGAGAUUCCCCCAGUAGCGGCGAGCGAACGGGGAGCAGCCCAGAGCCUGAAUCAGUGUGUGUGUUAGUGGAAGCGUCUGGAAAGGCGCGCGAUACAGGGUGACAGCCCCGUACACAAAAAUGCACAUACUGUGAGCUCGAUGAGUAGGGCGGGACACGUGGUAUCCUGUCUGAAUAUGGGGGGACCAUCCUCCAAGGCUAAAUACUCCUGACUGACCGAUAGUGAACCAGUACCGUGAGGGAAAGGCGAAAAGAACCCCGGCGAGGGGAGUGAAAAAGAACCUGAAACCGUGUACGUACAAGCAGUGGGAGCACGCUUAGGCGUGUGACUGCGUACCUUUUGUAUAAUGGGUCAGCGACUUAUAUUCUGUAGCAAGGUUAACCGAAUAGGGGAGCCGAAGGGAAACCGAGUCUUAACUGGGCGUUAAGUUGCAGGGUAUAGACCCGAAACCCGGUGAUCUAGCCAUGGGCAGGUUGAAGGUUGGGUAACACUAACUGGAGGACCGAACCGACUAAUGUUGAAAAAUUAGCGGAUGACUUGUGGCUGGGGGUGAAAGGCCAAUCAAACCGGGAGAUAGCUGGUUCUCCCCGAAAGCUAUUUAGGUAGCGCCUCGUGAAUUCAUCUCCGGGGGUAGAGCACUGUUUCGGCAAGGGGGUCAUCCCGACUUACCAACCCGAUGCAAACUGCGAAUACCGGAGAAUGUUAUCACGGGAGACACACGGCGGGUGCUAACGUCCGUCGUGAAGAGGGAAACAACCCAGACCGCCAGCUAAGGUCCCAAAGUCAUGGUUAAGUGGGAAACGAUGUGGGAAGGCCCAGACAGCCAGGAUGUUGGCUUAGAAGCAGCCAUCAUUUAAAGAAAGCGUAAUAGCUCACUGGUCGAGUCGGCCUGCGCGGAAGAUGUAACGGGGCUAAACCAUGCACCGAAGCUGCGGCAGCGACGCUGAUGCGUUGUUGGGUAGGGGAGCGUUCUGUAAGCCUGUGAAGGUGUGCUGUGAGGCAUGCUGGAGGUAUCAGAAGUGCGAAUGCUGACAUAAGUAACGAUAAAGCGGGUGAAAAGCCCGCUCGCCGGAAGACCAAGGGUUCCUGUCCAACGUUA
RNAcentral lists this ribosomal RNA (1164 nucleotides) under Escherichia coli. RNAcentral's name for it is "partial 23S ribosomal RNA". It matches the Rfam family "Bacterial large subunit ribosomal RNA", at positions 165 to 1367 of the family's 2925-position model. The record is from RNAcentral. Lineage: Bacteria; Pseudomonadati; Pseudomonadota; Gammaproteobacteria; Enterobacterales; Enterobacteriaceae.